ACUCCUACGGGAGGCAGCAGUAGGGAAUCUUCCACAAUGGGCGCAAGCCUGAUGGAGCAAUACCGCGUGAGUGAAGAAGGGUUUCGGCUCGCAAAACUCUGUUGUUGAAGAAGAACGUGCGUGAGGGUAACUGUUCAUGCAGUGACGGUAUUCAACCAGAAAGUCACGGCUAACUACGUGCCAGCAGCCGCGGUAAUACGUAGGUGGCAAGCGUUAUCCGGAUUUAUUGGGCGUAAAGCGAGCGCAGGCGGUUACUUAAGUCUGAUGUGAAAGCCUUCGGCUUAACCGAAGAAGUGCAUCGGAAACUGGGUGACUUGAGUGCAGAAGAGGACAGUGGAACUCCAUGUGUAGCGGUGGAAUGCGUAGAUAUAUGGAAGAACACCAGUGGCGAAGGCGGCUGUCUGGUCUGCAACUGACGCUGAGGCUCGAAAGCAUGGGUAGCGAACAGGAUUAGAUACCCUGGUAGUC
This 468-nucleotide ribosomal RNA is filed under the name uncultured bacterium. RNAcentral's name for it is "bacterial SSU rRNA". It matches the Rfam family "Bacterial small subunit ribosomal RNA", at positions 335 to 795 of the family's 1533-position model. The record is from RNAcentral.